This 460-nucleotide ribosomal RNA is filed under the name uncultured bacterium. RNAcentral describes it as "partial 16S ribosomal RNA". It matches the Rfam family "Bacterial small subunit ribosomal RNA", at positions 338 to 795 of the family's 1533-position model. The record is from RNAcentral.
CCUACGGGAGGCAGCAGUGAGGAAUAUUGGUCAAUGGGCGCGAGCCUGAACCAGCCAAGUCGCGUGAGGGAUGACGGUCCUACGGAUUGUAAACCUCUUUUGCCGGGGAGCAAGCGUUCGUUCGUGAACGCUCGUCGAGAGUACCCGGAGAAAAAGCAUCGGCUAACUCCGUGCCAGCAGCCGCGGUAAUACGGAGGAUGCGAGCGUUAUCCGGAUUUAUUGGGUUAAAGGGGUGCGUAGGCGGGAUGCCAAGUCAGCGGUAAAAGUGCGGUGCUCAACGCCGUCGAGCCGUUGAAACUGGCGUUCUGGAGUGGGCGAGAAGUAUGCGGAAGGCGUGGUGUAGCGGUGAAAUGCAUAGAUAUCACGCAGAACUCCGAUUGCGAAGGCAGCAUACCGGCGCCAAACUGACGCUGAAGCACGAAAGCGUGGGUAUCGAACAGGAUUAGAUACCCUUGUAGUC